RNAcentral lists this unclassified non-coding RNA (545 nucleotides) under Leishmania donovani. Its description in RNAcentral is "gene:unknown". The record is from RNAcentral. Lineage: Eukaryota; Euglenozoa; Kinetoplastea; Trypanosomatida; Trypanosomatidae.
CAUACCUGGCACACACACAGACACAAACACAUGCGCAGUGAACAUUCUCAACUGUUUUCGGUUCACGCAUCGGUGGCAGCGCAGAGGCAAGGCUCUGUGAGCGGCAGUCGACGACAAAGAAUCACAACAGUAAGAAGCAAAAUGCCGGCACCGAGGAGGCGCUCGAUCGCAGAGGGGAGGGGGAGGAGGAGGCACAGAAAGGCCGAUUCUGUACAGCAAAGAGUACCAGCCCUCAUCGCCGCGCGCUCUGUGACGUCUCUCUGUUCUUGAUGACACAUGCGAUGACCGCUCUGGGCGGUCGUCCCCCCCCCCAUCUUACAGGAAUGACUCGAAGUUGUAGGGGGGUCUCAUCGGAGCAUUCGUGGACACUUUUUUGUCCGAAGGUUUGCGCUUCGGUGUGUACGCCUUCUGCAAGCGUCUAGCGUCGAAACGGCGCGUGCAGCUCCUCGAAUCUGUCUCCCGUUCUGCCGAUUUCGUACGCUGCUGCUCUUCUCCUUCCUCCCUCCUGCAUUCCCUUGCUUUAUUGGGGACUCCUCCCUGCUUAG